RNAcentral lists this unclassified non-coding RNA (200 nucleotides) under soil metagenome. RNAcentral describes it as "partial contains internal transcribed spacer 2 and large subunit ribosomal RNA". The record is from RNAcentral.
ACCCUCGACAUCCCCUUGGGGAAGUCGGCGUUGGGGACCGGCAGCACACCGCCGGCCCCGAAAUUGAGUGGCGGCCCGUCCGCGGCGACCUCUGCGUAGUAAUCCAACCUCGCACCGGAACCCCGACGUGGCCACGCCGUAAAACACCCAACUUUCUGAACGUUGACCUCGGAUCAGGUAGGAAUACCCGCUGAACUUAA